GUAAAAGUUACACCUGUGUGUUCAGUAACCCUAAGAGUGAGGAGCACAGUGACCCUCUCAUUGAGAUGGACUUAUUUCCAGGUCCUUCAGCUGGCUACAUCGUUGCUGGUGUCUUUGGAGGGGUGGUGGUCAUAGUGCUGGUGGCUGUGGCUGUUUACUGUUGGUGCAAAACAAGAGGGUACAUGGGCUACACUCCACCUACACCUGUCACCCAUCCAUUAUCUUUGUCUGCCCAAGGACCAUAGUCUCAGCCCAAGUGAACUCCACAUCAGCUCUAAGAUCGUCACAGUGUGCCUUCAACACAGGACGAGAAGGUGGACGAGGAGAAGAAGCUGAGGGAGGACGAGGGAAAGACUGGAAAUUGAGCUGAAACUUAAAUUUAUCCAUCUGCUUUCAUAGACCAGGAACUGUAGGAUGAAAAAUAUGGGAAAAUUGUGAACUGUUCAUGUUUGGCUGCAUGUGAGUUCAGUACAAAUUGAUGCUUGGAUGACAUCAACAGUCCAAAUCCAGUGGAACAGGAGUCCAACUUUUGACCUUCGCUGUCACACAGCUUAACUCCUGUGCCCUCCCCUGUCCUUGCCAAACGCACUGCCUUCUUAUAGCAAUCAGCACCUUGUAAAAGUUAGAACAAUUCUUUAUAAUUUUUUUUACA
Scleropages formosus (Asian bonytongue) is the source of this 652-nucleotide long non-coding RNA. RefSeq lists it as uncharacterized. Lineage: Eukaryota; Metazoa; Chordata; Actinopteri; Osteoglossiformes; Osteoglossidae. The transcript has 4 exons. The record is from RefSeq and is a predicted model, not a curated record.